UACGUAGGGUGCAAGCGUUGUCCGGAAUUAUUGGGCGUAAAGAGCCCGUAGGCGGUUUGUCGCGUCUGCUGUGAAAACUCGGGGCUUAACCCCGGGCCUGCAGUGGGUACGGGCAGACUAGAGUGCGGUAGGGGAGACUGGAAUUCCUGGUGUAGCGGUGAAAUGCGCAGAUAUCAGGAGGAACACCGGUGGCGAAGGCGGGUCUCUGGGCCGUAACUGACGCUGAGGAGCGAAAGCGUGGGGAGCGAACAGG
This 253-nucleotide ribosomal RNA is filed under the name uncultured bacterium. RNAcentral's name for it is "partial 16S ribosomal RNA". It matches the Rfam family "Bacterial small subunit ribosomal RNA", at positions 524 to 776 of the family's 1533-position model. The record is from RNAcentral.